This is a long non-coding RNA of Dreissena polymorpha, 573 nucleotides long. RefSeq lists it as uncharacterized. The record is from RefSeq and is a predicted model, not a curated record. Lineage: Eukaryota; Metazoa; Mollusca; Bivalvia; Myida; Dreissenidae. The transcript has 4 exons.
GUUCAUAUGCUGGAAAAGUAAGCACAGUUUCUUUUAGAAUACGUAUUGCAUAUAAUAUAUCAUAUAUACACAAGUACCAGAAAUGAUAACCAGUACCCGAUUAGAUACGAACCACGGGUGUCAGCAUGGUAUAUUAUAUUUCAUUGCAGAAAGUCUCGAGUGCUUCAACUGUCAAAACUUAGUUGAUUCUCAUGCCUGUACUAACACCAGCCAAUGUUCCAGUAGCCAGUCCUGCUUUCUCCAAACUGUCCACUCAGGCAACGAUAUACGGUACAACAUGGGCUGUCAGAGCAAUCAGCAUCUGCAUGUAUUGACGAUCUCCAACUGGACUGUGCUCGAUUGAAUUCCAUUUUUAACGUGUGCUGAUGUUCAUCAUGCCAAAGAGACUUGUCCUAGGUUUUGUGGAUUGUGCCUGCUAGUUGAUGGAAACUGGGCAUACUGGAGUAUCUGGUCAAACUGCAGUGGGACAUGUGAAAAUGGGAUACACACACGCACACGCACGUGCACCAACCCGACCCCUAGCAACGGCGGACUCAACUGCAGUGGGCCAAACGUGGACUCCAAAAUAUGUGC